AACGCACAUUGCGCCCUAUGGUAUUCCAUAGGGCAUGCCUGUUUGAGCGUCAUUUCUCUCUCAAAUCUUCGGAUUUGGUUUUGAGUGAUACUCUUAGUCAGACUAAGCGUUUGCUUGAAAUGUAUUGGCAUGAGUGGUACUAGAUAGUGCUGAACUGUUUCAAUGUAUUAGGUUUAUCCAACUCGUUGACCAGUAUAGUAUUUGUUUAUUACACAGGAUCGGCCUUACAACAACAAACAAAGUUUGACCUCAAAUCAGGUAGGACUACCCGCUGAACUUAA
Molecule: unclassified non-coding RNA, 281 nt
Filed under: uncultured Candida
Lineage: Eukaryota; Fungi; Ascomycota; Saccharomycetes; Saccharomycetales
Description: sequence contains ITS2
Rfam family: 5.8S ribosomal RNA (bases 1-52)
Source: RNAcentral